GUGACUCCCUCUCUUCUCAAGUAUAUAAAAGAUCCAUGCUUUUCCAAUUAGCCGGUUUGGUUAGUUUCUCGUUUGAUUCAGGUUUCUCUAGUUUUAGCUUUGGUGGGUUCUAUUGUUCCUUUUCCAUGCUUUUGUUGCUUCGGUUUUGAUGUUUGGAAUAUUUGUGGUUUGUAGGACGUUUCUUGUGGACUUUCCAAACGAAUUUUCAUGGGUUAUUUCUGAAGCCAUCUCCGCGUGGAAAGGUUGCAAUCGUGCCUCACUGAAAUAGGAAAUUAGUCGCAAGUCUCUUCCUCUCUAACACGAACUCCCUCGAAAGCAAGGGAUUUAGGCGAGGUAUGAUCGCCGGUUUGAUGACUUCUGCUUUGAUUUAUAGUUGGAUUUGCUUGAUUUUUAAUUUAUUUAUUUUCAAUAUGAUGAUGGGUUUUAUGUAAUUUAUGGCAUCAACCAGUC
This 450-nucleotide long non-coding RNA is filed under the name Vitis vinifera (wine grape). Its description in RNAcentral is "long non-coding RNA (VVIN_LNC008151)". Lineage: Eukaryota; Viridiplantae; Streptophyta; Magnoliopsida; Vitales; Vitaceae. The record is from RNAcentral.